UACGGGGGGAGCAAGCGUUGUUCGGAUUUACUGGGCGUAAAGGGCGCGUAGGCGGCCACCGCAAGUCGACUGUGAAAUCUCCGGGCUUAACCCGGAAAGGUCAGCUGAUACUGUGCGACUAGAGUGCGGAAGGGGCAACUGGAAUUCUUGGUGUAGCGGUGAAAUGCGUAGAUAUCAAGAGGAACACCUGCGGCGAAGGCGGGUUGCUGGGCCGACACUGACACUGAGGCGCGAAAGCCAGGGGAGCGAACGGG
This 254-nucleotide ribosomal RNA is filed under the name uncultured bacterium. RNAcentral describes it as "partial 16S ribosomal RNA". It matches the Rfam family "Bacterial small subunit ribosomal RNA", at positions 524 to 776 of the family's 1533-position model. The record is from RNAcentral.